UACGUAGGGGGCAAGCGUUGUCCGGAAUCAUUGGGCGUAAAGCGCGUGUAGGCGGCUUGAUAAGUCUGCUCUGAAAGCCCGGGGCUCAACCCUGGGAGGCGGGUGGAUACUGUCGAGCUCGAGUCCGGAAGAGGCGAGUGGAGUUCCUGGUGUAGCGGUGAAAUGCGCAGAUAUCAGGAGGAACACCAAUGGCGAAGGCAGCUCGCUGGGACGGUACUGACGCUGAGACGCGAAAGCGUGGGGAGCAAACAGG
RNAcentral lists this ribosomal RNA (253 nucleotides) under uncultured bacterium. Its description in RNAcentral is "partial 16S ribosomal RNA". It matches the Rfam family "Bacterial small subunit ribosomal RNA", at positions 524 to 776 of the family's 1533-position model. The record is from RNAcentral.